Molecule: ribosomal RNA, 255 nt
Filed under: uncultured bacterium
Lineage: Bacteria
Description: partial 16S ribosomal RNA
Rfam family: Bacterial small subunit ribosomal RNA
Source: RNAcentral
UACGAAGGGGGGCUAGCGUUGUUCGGAUUUACUGGGCGUAAAGCGCACGUAGGCGGAUUGGUCAGUUAGGGGUGAAAUCCCAGAGCUCAACUCUGGAACUGCCUUUAAUACUGCCAAUCUAGAGUCCGGAAGAGGUAAGUGGAACUCCUAGUGUAGAGGUGGAAUUCGUAGAUAUUAGGAAGAACACCAGUGGCGAAGGCGGCUUACUGGUCCGGUACUGACGCUGAGGUGCGAAAGCGUGGGGAGCAAACAGGG